UCGGUAAAAGAUGGGCCCGCAUCUGAUUAGCUAGUUGGUGAGAUAAUAGCCCACCAAGGCAACGAUCAGUAGCCGACCUGAGAGGGUGACCGGCCACAUUGGGACUGAGACACGGCCCAAACUCCUACGGGAGGCAGCAGUGGGGAAUAUUGCACAAUGGGCGAAAGCCUGAUGCAGCAACGCCGCGUGAAGGAAGACGGUUUUCGGAUUGUAAACUUCUAUCAAUAGGGAAGAAAGAAAUGACGGUACCUAAAUAAGAAGCCCCGGCUAACUACGUGCCAGCAGCCGCGGUAAUACGUAGGGGGCAAGCGUUAUCCGGAAUUACUGGGUGUAAAGGGAGAGUAGGCGGCAAGGUAAGCGAUAUGUGAAAGCCUUAAGCUUAACCAAAGGAUUGCAUAACGAACUAUCUAGCUAGAGUACAGGAGAGGAAAGCGGAAUUCCUAGUGUAGCGGUGAAAUGCGUAGAUAUUAGGAAGAACACCAGUGGCGAAGGCGGCUUUCUGGACUGAAACUGACGCUGAGGCUCGAAAGCGUGGGGAGCGAACAGGAUUAGAUACCCUGGUAGUCCACGCUGUAAACGAUGAGUGCUAGGUGUCGGGGAGGAAUUCCCG
RNAcentral lists this ribosomal RNA (610 nucleotides) under uncultured bacterium. Its description in RNAcentral is "bacterial SSU rRNA". It matches the Rfam family "Bacterial small subunit ribosomal RNA", at positions 215 to 842 of the family's 1533-position model. The record is from RNAcentral.